UGGGACCACAUCAUGAUUUUGUCAAUGGUAUUGCUACAAUCUUUGCAAGUUAUUACAACUUUAACUUGCAGUAUCCUGAAGAUGCCUCAUCCACAUUGGAGUUUAUCCAAAGGUGUUUUUUGGGUAUUAACCCAGAGUCGGGCUCAAAAU
Polypterus senegalus (gray bichir) is the source of this 150-nucleotide long non-coding RNA. RefSeq lists it as uncharacterized. The record is from RefSeq and is a predicted model, not a curated record. The transcript is spliced from 2 exons. NCBI's taxonomy places the organism in Eukaryota, Metazoa, Chordata, Cladistia, Polypteriformes, Polypteridae.